GAUGAACGCUGGCGGCGUGCCUAACACAUGCAAGUCGCGCGGGGAAUUGUUGCUUGCAUCAAUUCUUAGAGGCGGACGGGUGAGUAACACCUGGGUAACCUGCCCUAAACAAACGUAUAUCAAUGAGAAAUCAUUGCUAAUACCGUAUACGCUUACACUAUCGCAUGAUAGCGUAAGAAAAGAUCUAUCGGUUUAGGAGGGGCCCGCGUCUGAUUAGCUAGUUGGAGAGGUAACGGCUCACCAAGACGACGAUCAGUAGCCGACCUGAGAGGGUGAGCGGCCACAUUGGGACAGAGACACGGCCCAAACUCCUACGGGAGGCAGCAGUGGGGAAUAUUGCACAAUGGAGGAAACUCUGAUGCAGCAACGCCGCGUGAAGGAAGAAGGUUUUCGGAUCGUAAACUUUUAUCUACAGGGAAGAAAAAAAUGACGGCACCUGAGUAAGAAGCCCCGGCUAACUACGUG
Molecule: ribosomal RNA, 465 nt
Filed under: uncultured bacterium
Lineage: Bacteria
Description: partial 16S ribosomal RNA
Rfam family: Bacterial small subunit ribosomal RNA
Source: RNAcentral